GACGAACGCUGGCGGCGUGCUUAACACAUGCAAGUCGAACGGAAAGGCCCUGCUUUUGUGGGGUGCUCGAGUGGCGAACGGGUGAGUAACACGUGAGUAACCUGCCCUUGACUUUGGGAUAACUUCAGGAAACUGGGGCUAAUACCGGAUAGGAGCUCCUGCUGCAUGGUGGGGGUUGGAAAGUUUCGGCGGUUGGGGAUGUACUCGCGGCUUAUCAGCUUGUUGGUGGGGUAGCGGCUUACCAAGGCAUUGACGGGUAGUCGGCCUGAGAGGGUGACCGGCCACAUUGGGACUGAGAUACGGCCCAGAGUACUACGGGAGGCAGCAGUGGGGAAUAUUGCACAAUGGGCGGAAGCCUGAUGCAGCAACGCCGCGUGCGGGAUGACGGCCUUCGGGUUGUAAACCGCUUUCGCCUGUGACGAAGCGUGAGUGACGGUAAUGGGUAAAGAAGCACCGGCUAACUACGUG
RNAcentral lists this ribosomal RNA (468 nucleotides) under uncultured bacterium. Its description in RNAcentral is "partial 16S ribosomal RNA". It matches the Rfam family "Bacterial small subunit ribosomal RNA", at positions 28 to 507 of the family's 1533-position model. The record is from RNAcentral.